Long non-coding RNA from Globicephala melas (long-finned pilot whale), 1581 nucleotides. RefSeq lists it as uncharacterized. The record is from RefSeq and is a predicted model, not a curated record. NCBI's taxonomy places the organism in Eukaryota, Metazoa, Chordata, Mammalia, Artiodactyla, Delphinidae.
AGCGCGAUCCUGGGCUAGCGAAGCGCACGUACCUCGUCCAACUGCCUGAAGGACGCUGUCCUUACGCGCGGAGGACGCCGGACCGGAGCGGGCAACGCCGCAGCCCCGCGGGACACAGGGGAGACGGUUAUAGACAACAUGACAUUUCGCCUCUGGGAUUUCACACCCUCCGACAGUGUCCUCCCACAUUGUACAGGGUUGGUCCAGUAGAAUACAGAAGUAGUGAUGGCCUGUCUCGUCUGGAAUUAAGUUACAAAAGACACAUGGCUGCAUCUUGCCUUCUCUCUCUCCCUCUCCCUCUCAUCACUUGCUCUGGGGGAAGUCAGCUGCCAUGUCGCUAGUAGCCCCAUGGAGAGGCCCAUGUGACAAAGAAAGCCUCAUGGACACAGAUCCCCAAGCCCCAGUCAAGUGUCAGAUGACUGCAAACCCCACCACAUCUAGGUGGGAGCCUCCUGAGAGACCCUGCGUCAGAACCACCGGCUAAGCCAGUCCCAGAUUCCUGACCCUCAGAAACUGUGCAAGAUAAUAAUUUCUACUGCUUUAACCUGCUAAAGUUGGGGCUACAUUGGUAGUACAGAUAGAACACAUUUGGAUACCUUUGCAGGCGGGGUACUGUGACAGAAACCCAAAAUGUGGGAGUGGCUUUGGCACCAGGCGGUGGGCUUUGUUGAGAGCAUCGGUAAAUGCCUGGAGCACCUUGAAGAAGCUGUGAAUUAAAGAGUCCAGGUCGUUAAAGAUUCAGGUCAGAGCUUGCAGGAAAGUGUCAGAAACUGGAGGAAGGGAUCCUGGUGAUGCUGUUGCCUGCAGUCAUGUGGACAGAGGAAAAUGCAACCGAUGAACUCGUGAUCUAGUCAAGGAGAUUUGGAGCCAAAACGUUUUCAGUGCUGCCUGCUUUCUGCUAGUUGCUUAUAGUAAGAUGCCAGAGGAGAGAGAGAAAUGAACGGAAGGGUCGUUAAGCAGAAAGGAGCUGGGACUGGAAGGUUUUCAGCCGGGCCAGAUGACAAAUUAUGCUAGAAUCAAGGAAUGGCUUCCAAGCAAAAGUCCAAAUUCAGGGCCCUGCCAGAAAACCUGUGGUCCAGAGACAGACCCUAGGCUGUGCCUGUAAAUAAUUUUUAAAAGAUUUCAGAAAGAUAUAAAGCCAUACCCCAUAGUCCUUUUGUCAGACAAAAGGCCCUCUAAGGAGAGUAAACGUGUGCCUCGCUGCUGUGGCCCGAAUGCUUGUGGGCUUAAAGGUGUACCUCACAUGUGAGGUCACAAGAAGUCGGCAGCCUGGAGGAGGGCCCUCACCAGAACCCAGCCAUGCUGGCACCCUGGUCUCAGAAUUCCAGCCUCCAGAACUGUGAGGAAUAAAUGUCUGUUGUUUAUAAAUUACCCAGCCUGUGGUGUUUUGUUACAGCAGCCCCAGUGGACUAAGACACUCACAGACCCUCUCAAUCAAAGGAUGGUGCUCCUCAGGGCUUCCCUGGUGGUCCAGUGGUUAGGGCUCCACGCUUCCACUGCAGGGGGCAUGGGUUCGAUCCCUGGUCAGGGAACUAAGAUCCUGUAUGCCAGCGGCACGGCCAAAAAAAAAAAAGAAAAACA